GAUGAAGAACGCAGCGAAAUGCGAUAAGUAAUGUGAAUUGCAGAAUUCAGUGAAUCAUCGAAUCUUUGAACGCACCUUGCGCUCCCUGGUAUUCCGGGGAGCACGCCUGUUCGAGUGUUGCGAUAUUCUUCAAGCCUUGGAUGGAUUUUUUUUUUGUCUGUCCUUGGGCCUGGUUGUUGGGCUCUGCCGUGUCCUUCAUUGGGACGGCUGGCCUUAAAAGCAUUAGCCGAUCCUCGUGUGGUACUGGUUCUACUCAGCGUGAUAACAAUCUGAUCGUUGAGGACAUCUUCUGGAUGGCCAGUCAUCAUUUGGGUUGCUUCUAAACCGGUUUCGCAGAUUGCUCAAUCUGUGUGCCACUUUUCAGCUUUGACCUCGAAUCAGGUGGGACUACCCGCUGAACUUAAGCAUAUCAAUAAGCGGAGGA
This 424-nucleotide unclassified non-coding RNA is filed under the name soil metagenome. RNAcentral describes it as "partial contains 5.8S ribosomal RNA, internal transcribed spacer 2, and large subunit ribosomal RNA". The stretch from base 1 to 120 matches the Rfam family "5.8S ribosomal RNA", at positions 35 to 154 of the family's 154-position model. The record is from RNAcentral.